Long non-coding RNA from Lotus japonicus, 860 nucleotides. RefSeq lists it as uncharacterized. The transcript has 3 exons. Lineage: Eukaryota; Viridiplantae; Streptophyta; Magnoliopsida; Fabales; Fabaceae. The record is from RefSeq and is a predicted model, not a curated record.
CUCUCACUAGCUCUCUUACUUCAGUUUUCUUUUAUCCAUCAUUUCUAUCCCUCUCUUGUUCCAAUUCUUCUCCAGACCAGUAUCAACUCCUUCUUCCAAACAUAACCACCAUCCACGCACACCAUGCUUCAUCAUCUAACCAUCACCAACACUUUUUUCAUUCAUUUUCCUUGAAAUUUCUGUACUUGGCCGUGGAGCUUGAAGGAGAAGGAGUUACCGCACCGUUUUCUCGUUUCUUGACCGAUCGUCGUGCGGCCAGUUGCUACGCGUAGACCUCGAGGUUCAAUUGUGGAAACUUUGGGGUUGACUGAACAAGCUUGUGAGGGAGACCUGCACCGCGAGACUGGAACAACUCGAGACGUUCGACAGCUGGUUCGUGAUGAUUCGUCACUCGGGGAGGACCAGGAGCGUAAUUACCAUUACUGAAGUUUCGACGAGGACCCGAACUGAAUGCAGGACCAGAUGAGGGCCGAUGAUGGAAGUAUAGGGUAUGAGUGUUUAGAGCCUACUAAGGUUGGGUGUUAGUGUCAUAGCUCUGAUUUUCAUUUCUUAUUUUGGGGCAGGGUAGGUCCCCGACUAUUAGCUUUUUGUGUGGUUCUCUUCCAUGAGGAUCACAGGGAGUUUGUCGGACGUAGGAGGUCCUUUGGAGGCCGUUUUGGGCUGACUUACUUUCUUGGAGGACUGUAUUUAUAAAACUUAUGACUCUGGCUAUGGGUCGCACUUGUUGCCUUCGGGCACCACUUUCAGUUACUUGAUGUUACUUUCCGUCACUUGAGGGCACUCGUGACGAUGUUUUUAGUUGCAGCGAGGGCUGUACUUAUAUCGUAUGUUAGUCGUUGUUAAUCGCGAUUGGGUUGAGC